GGGAAGUAGAGUUUAGGCUAGAGAUUGGCUACACUGUGCUGAAGUAAGAUCUCAGUUCUUAAGUCCCUGCCCCUCAAGAACUUAGGCAGUGACAAAUGGGUCUUUAGGACGUGGGUAGAGUGGGGGUUCAGGUUCAGAUCUGUUCUAGGAAUUAACUGUAGAUGGUCCAGGUGGCUGUGACAGAGCUGCAGAAGAGCAUAGAGAUCAAAGUCUGGUUCAGAUGACCUGAUUCUCAGGGUUAGAGUGCCUCCUGGCACAGAAUGAGCAGGCACUGGGCAAGAAAGCAGCUGCCUUGCAGGCCCUGGAGCAGCAGGCAGCACAGCUGCUUGAGCACAUGUGGCUGGGUGCCAUGCUUAUGUCACCUGCCGACUGCUGCCAUCUAUGGAUGCCAGCAAAGGCUCUGGGACCACCUGGGUGACUCAAUGAGACUCCAUAACGACCCAGGAAUCCCUUGAGAUUGAGAAAACAGAGAUCCCACUGAGUAUGCACUGACCCUGAGUGACCUCUGUAUGACCCCUUGAUUCCCAGUUUUGGUCAUCUGACCUUGAAAGAACAGAGAGAUCCUGUAACUCCUUGAGGCCAUCUAGUGCCCCUAAGCCUAAAGACCUUU
Molecule: long non-coding RNA, 610 nt
Filed under: Marmota monax (woodchuck)
Lineage: Eukaryota; Metazoa; Chordata; Mammalia; Rodentia; Sciuridae
Source: RNAcentral